This is a non-coding RNA of Podarcis lilfordi (Lilford's wall lizard), 105 nucleotides long. Lineage: Eukaryota; Metazoa; Chordata; Lepidosauria; Squamata; Lacertidae. The record is from the annotation of a GenBank genome assembly.
CUCCUCCAGCACCAUAAUUCAAAAGCAUCAAUUCUUCGGCGAUCAGACCAUAAAGAAGGCUGAUCACCGAAGAAUUUAUGCUUUUGAAUUAUGGUGCUAGAGGAG